This 75-nucleotide transfer RNA is filed under the name Sphaerodactylus townsendi. RNAcentral describes it as "tRNA-Ala". It matches the Rfam family "tRNA". Rfam says of the family: Transfer RNA (tRNA) molecules are approximately 80 nucleotides in length. Their secondary structure includes four short double-helical elements and three loops (D, anti-codon, and T loops). The record is from RNAcentral. Lineage: Eukaryota; Metazoa; Chordata; Lepidosauria; Squamata; Sphaerodactylidae.
GGAGGGGCCAUGGCUCAGCGGUAGAGCAUUUGCUGGGCAUGCAGAAGGCCCCAGGUUCAAUCCCCAGCAUCUCCA